AUACGGAGGGUGCAAGCGUUGUCGGGAUUUAUUGGGUUUAAAGGGUGCGCAGGCGGUGCGUUAAGUCAGUGGUGAAAUCUUCCGGCUCAACCGGGAAACUGCCAUUGAUACUGGCGCACUUGAGUACGGACGAGGUAGGCGGAAUUUAUGGUGUAGCGGUGAAAUGCAUAGAUACCAUAAAGAACACCGAUAGCGAAGGCAGCUUACCAGACCGUAACUGACGCUCAGGCACGAAAGCGUGGGGAGCAAACAGGAUUAGAUACCCUAGUAGUCC
Molecule: ribosomal RNA, 274 nt
Filed under: uncultured bacterium
Lineage: Bacteria
Description: partial 16S ribosomal RNA
Rfam family: Bacterial small subunit ribosomal RNA
Source: RNAcentral